RNAcentral lists this ribosomal RNA (245 nucleotides) under uncultured bacterium. RNAcentral describes it as "partial 16S ribosomal RNA". It matches the Rfam family "Bacterial small subunit ribosomal RNA", at positions 524 to 768 of the family's 1533-position model. The record is from RNAcentral.
UACGUAGGUGGCAAGCGUUAUCCGGAUUUACUGGGCGUAAAGAGUGCGUAGGUGGUCCUUCAAGUCGGAUGUUAAAACUCACGGCUCAACUGUGAGAUGUCAUCCGAUACUGCUGGACUUGAGGGCAGUAGAGGAAGGUGGAACUCCCGGUGUAGUGGUGAAAUGCGUAGAUAUCGGGAAGAACACCAGUGGCGAAGGCGGCCUUCUGGGCUGCUUCUGACACUGAGGCACGAAAGCGUGGGGAG